This 198-nucleotide ribosomal RNA is filed under the name uncultured soil bacterium. RNAcentral's name for it is "partial 16S ribosomal RNA". It matches the Rfam family "Bacterial small subunit ribosomal RNA", at positions 26 to 250 of the family's 1533-position model. The record is from RNAcentral.
AGAACGAACGCUGGCGGCAUGCCUAACACAUGCAAGUCGAACGAGACCUUCGGGUCUAGUGGCGCACGGGUGCGUAACGCGUGGGAAUCUGCCCUUGGGUUCGGGAUAACAGUUGGAAACGACUGCUAAUACCGGAUGAUGACUUCGGUCCAAAGAUUUAUCCGCCCAGGGAUGACGCCCGCGUAGGAUUAGCUAGUU